Molecule: ribosomal RNA, 301 nt
Filed under: uncultured archaeon
Lineage: Archaea
Description: bacterial SSU rRNA
Rfam family: Archaeal small subunit ribosomal RNA
Source: RNAcentral
ACGGGGCGCAGCAGGCGCGAAACCUCCGCAAUGUGAGAAAUCGCGACGGGGGGAUCCCAAGUGCCAUUCUUAACGGGAUGGCUUUUCAUUAGUGUAAAAAGCUUUUGGAAUAAGAGCUGGGCAAGACCGGUGCCAGCCGCCGCGGUAACACCGGCAGCUCUAGUGGUAGCAAUUUUUAUUGGGCCUAAAGCGUCCGUAGCCGGUUUAAUAAGUCUCUGGUGAAAUCCUGUAGCUUAACUGUGGGAAUUGCUGGAGAUACUAUUAGACUUGAGACCGGGAGAGGUUAGAGGUACUCCCAGGG